Marmota flaviventris (yellow-bellied marmot) is the source of this 2562-nucleotide non-coding RNA. The record is from RefSeq and is a predicted model, not a curated record. Lineage: Eukaryota; Metazoa; Chordata; Mammalia; Rodentia; Sciuridae.
GCCAAGGGAGCCUCCUGAGUGCCUGGAAGUGUGCCUGGUUACAGGGAGCCUCCAGGGACAUGCAGAAUGCACUCGGGGACUGUGGGACAGAUCUCAUGAUAACUUGAGGGCCCCUCUCCAACUCGCUUUCAUGUGUGGCCCAUGGAAUGUAACAUGUGUGCAAUAUGAGCUCAGAGUGAACCAUUGAACCAAGCAGAGUUCCUGCCUCCCGUGGAAUAAAGACCAAAGGACCCUGUUCUUGGAAUAAAGGAGACUGACCAUAACAAUCAACAGAAUGAAUCAGGAAUGGAUGUGGCACGUGGCAGGUGGAAGGUGCUCUGGGAGGACGGGAGUGCCAGGUGGCUGGGGUGGGCAGGCAGGCGGGGUAUUCCACGGGCUGGUCAAGGUGAGAAGGAGAGAAUGAGAGAAGGCAAUGUGGCUUCAGCUAUGAGUCUCUGAAAGAAGAACCUCAGGUCCAGGGAAUGAAUGGAGCAAAGGUCCUGGGGCAGGAGUGCAGCUUUCGGUGGAGUCACAGGAAGGAGGUUGUGUGGUUAACCUGGGGUGAGUGCAGGGUGGACGACAGAAUCAGGGCCAGAGAUCUGGGGACUCAGGGCAGGGGCAGUGAGGCCCUGCAGUCACUGGGAGGCCUUAGACUCAGGCUCCAAAUACACGAGAAGCCAAUGUAGGGUCCAGGUGCUCCCAGGGAUGUGUCCAAGCAUCUCCCUGCCUGUGGCCUGCAGAGUACAUGGAUUGGUGGGGAUGUGUCCUACAGAAGUUCAAGUGUUGGAAACAAACAUAAUCCCCAAAUUUGUAUGUUAAUGGUGCUCGGAGGUGGAGUCUUUGGGAGAUAAUUAGGAUUCAUCAAGGGCGUGAGAAUGGGGCUCCAUUAUGGCUUUAUUAGGAGAGGAAGAGGCCCAGUCACACUGGCUCUGACUUGUCACACAAUGCCCUGUGCCACGUUAUAGUGCAGCAAGUAAGCCCUCACCAGAUGUGGUGCCACACUCUGGACUGCACAGCCUUCAGAAGGUGAGCUAAUCAGACUUUUUUUCUUUAUAAAUUACCUGGUUUCAGGUAUUUUGUUAUGGGAACUAAGACAGGGAUAACAUAGAAGGAGAGAGAUGGUUUUGGAAGCUGUUGCAAUAACCCCAGCAAGAGAUGGUGUGCUAGGACCAGGGUCAAGGUGUGGAGGUAUUAUUCUGCUAUUAACAAUAGCUGAGACUCUGUGGCGGUCUCCUGUCACCUCUCCCAAGUCGGCUUGCAGAGUUAUUCUCCUCUUCAUAACUGUUUCCCUAGAAACCACUACACAACCAAGUUUCCCAGUGUUUCAUAUUUUCCUCUGUUCUUUUCUGUAUAGUUUUUCUAGCUUCUUGGCUUUGUCUUCGGCAGUCUGCUGGAGAUGUUCUGUCCCACCUGGAGUACUGAUCACACUGUGCUUCCAGAGGAAGCAGAGAGCCGGGGCUGGCCUUGUGCCCUGAAAGCUCAAGUCACCUGCCGUGGUGACGCCAGGCCAGCUGGAGAUGGGUGAGCAGCCCUUGAUAUCUGGGCUUGCCUCUCCAGAUCCUGCUUUCUCCAGCCAGGAGAUAAGAUUUCAGACCGCGUGAGCACUGAGAUUGCUGGCUCCAACUUCAGAGCAGUAAAUGGCAGUAUUCAGGUAAAGUCCCAAGUCUGUCAUCAGGAAGUUGGUAAUAAAGGAAGCACUCAACAUGGGACCCGCACGGUGGGAAGAAGAUGAGCAGGGCCCCUGUGCGGUACCGAGUGUGUGUGGGAGUUGCUCACAUCGGCACUGCAGGGCUGAGUUCUGCAAUAACAUUUUAAGAGGUUUCUAUGCUAGAUGUUAAAAACAGCCAUUAUUAAAACUUAAAUUAUGUAAAAUUACAAGUGAAUAAGUUAUAUUAAAAGAAAACAUAAUAAAAACACCAAGUGCACCACUUUCUAGUUAUUUUGCUGAAUUUUUCUAUUGUUUGUGGUCUUAGUUUUAUGUACAUCUGUUACCUCUGUAUGUGGGAAAUGGGCUCUAUGCUCUCUUCCCCACUCUGCAGUAGUGACUUCACACAGACAGCCUGACAUUGGCCAUGGGGGGGAUAUUUACACCACGGAAAUUGGCACAGGUGACAAAUCAGGGGUUGGUUCUUAUUAAGAAAACGACUUGAGAAAUUUAACUUAAAAGUGUACCAUGUCUAUAGUUGUAGCACUGUGCAUAUUAUAAAAAUUGAAGAGGUUAUCUUGCGAUAUUUGAAAUUAUUAUUUGAUUCAGCAAAGAAUUUGCUUCUAUCUCUGAUGAACAAGUUCUGACAUAUGUCCCUGUUGUUUUGCUUAUUAACAUAAGGAAAAAAUAUGCUUUUCCUUUACAUUAGUGAGGAAAUAUUGCUGUCAGAACUUCCUCAUCCGUCAACUGCAACACAGAUUUGCCAAGGAUAUAAGAGUUCAGCAAAAAAAAUCAAUGAAACCAUUCUGUGAGAAUCGAUCGACUAUGUGGAAUUGAUGAUAAAGAAUACUGUGUAUUUCACUAUUAUUUGUAAAUGGCGUGCUACAAAUCUCUUAUUUCAGUAAAACGUACAAUAAACUUGUGCAUGUACAUAUGCA